GAAAAUUAACAUCUUGUUAAUCUAUCUGUGUGGUGAAUCCCCCUAUGCGGUGGGGCACUGUAACCUGGUAAUGUCGAAACAUUGCUGGCUGACAAAAUGCGGGUCGUGGCUGGUUACACUUCGACUCACCGGGAGGCACCCGGCACCAUGCAAUGCUACUAAGCUAUUUGGUAGUGGAGUUGCCGUUUCGGCUUCUCCAGCUAU
Molecule: small RNA, 204 nt
Filed under: Klebsiella pneumoniae
Lineage: Bacteria; Pseudomonadati; Pseudomonadota; Gammaproteobacteria; Enterobacterales; Enterobacteriaceae
Description: STnc100
Rfam family: Gammaproteobacterial sRNA STnc100
Source: RNAcentral